UGUUCCCCAUCAUUUCUACGAACAACGAGAGAGAAACACCAUCGGCGCCGCACAACACUCCAGCCCUCCGAGUUCGUUCUCCGGCCAUUACGCCCAACGGCGAGUGAAACCCUGAAGGGUUUCAAAUUUCUUGAUGAACCGAUGAGGUUAGUCGAAUAUGCAGGUGGAGCGGAUGAUUUUUUUCUGACGGAUUCCGAUAAGUUCAAGACCAUGAUCGAUUAAGAAGAUUGAUCAUUGAUUUUAACAUUUAACUUCCAGUCAUGGGUUUAGCUUUCAUAUGGAAUUCUAUUUUAUUAUGAAUAUAAAUAUAUAAUUGUUAGGCAAAUUUAUAUGGCUGCUUUUCUUUUUGCUAGCUCCUAUGUUAUACUAUGUAAUUGACAGAAUUGGGUUUUAGAUUUUGAGAAGAAUAGCACUUAAUAAGUUAGAAUAUGGAAUAAUUUAUGAUGAUGCGCAUACUUGAGCAAAUGAAGUACGAAGUAGGAUUAAAAGGAUGACAAUAGGGCUAUUCCUCUGCUAAUAUGUAUUGGGAUAUUGUUUUACUUAGUCAAGUAUGAUUACAUUCAAGUUGAUGAUAUAAUCUUUGACUAACCAAGAUCAAAAUGUAGUAUACAAAGCGGCCAUUUAUAGAAAUAUAGAAUUAAUUUCAAAAGUUUAGUACCCUAGAUUAAUGAAAGUAAAAAGGGCUUGAGAAGAGGCAGGGAUUGCCACGGUAUCAGUUAUCAGGGAAUUACCUCUUUCUCUCACUUUAAAGCAAUUGAAGACUGCCUUUUCCCCUAAGCUACAGUAUGACACAUAAAUAUGAAAUCCAUGGACUUUUUUUUUGUAAUCUGGACAAAGUAUUAUAAUGUCAGACUCUAAUUACUUCCCGCUUAUCUUAAUUUUUAUGCAGUUUCUAAAGGAUGAUUUACGUCGGAUAGCAAGAUAAUAAAUGAAGAUAAGUCUUAGAAAUAUAGGUGUUGUACUAUUCUUGGUUUCAUUUUGUGUUUUCUUUUUAUUGAUUUCAGUUAUGAAGCCUUAUGAGCAAGUAGCUGAUGCAGAGGCUUUGUUUGACAUUACAAGCGGUUUUGUGAAAUCUGUCAAGAAACAAAAAAAAUAUGACGGAGUGACUCCAUCAGAAUUUGGAUUAUGGUCGGCAAGGUAGAGCUACAAGUAGUUUAGAUGAUUCGGAAACUCGAUGAUUUGGAACCUGUAUACGGGACAGAUGGUUGAUUUGGUUCCUUGGUGCCUGCCAAACAUUGCAGAAAGGCACAACCAAUGGAAGGGUCUGUUUGGAAGGUUGGGUUGGGAAGGAAACUUUCACAACUUGUGGGCAAAGUUGGGAUGCGCUUUCAUCCUGAUCAGGAUAGGAUAGUCACAGUUCGUGAAUGUGCUCGAUCUCAAAUAGCUACAAAUUUGCUGGAAACAUCCAACACAGGCACCGGCAGAUUGGUAAUUAAUGCAGUUCCGCCUUUGCAUUGGGUAGGAAACUCAAAGAAGCUGCUGAGAGGAAAUGCUGAGUCUUACAAUAUAAUGUCAAGUUCAGUGCUGGUAAAUUCCUUAGCUAUAGCAUUGAUAGUCCACAAAAAUUAUAAAUAGUGCAAUUAACCCUCAUAGAUUACACAAAUUAAGAACUUUGUAUGAAUUGAGAAAUUGAUUUUGAUAAGAUGAAUGAUCUUCAGCUCGU
This is a long non-coding RNA of Spinacia oleracea (spinach), 1663 nucleotides long. RefSeq lists it as uncharacterized. NCBI's taxonomy places the organism in Eukaryota, Viridiplantae, Streptophyta, Magnoliopsida, Caryophyllales, Amaranthaceae. The transcript is spliced from 4 exons. The record is from RefSeq and is a predicted model, not a curated record.